AUGGAGACAAAUCAAAGAGGAGGCAAGACAAAAGCGGCUCAGAUGACAUACUCUUCUGAUGAAUAUCCUGAAUUGAAGACUGCCAUUGAGAAGCAAGAUUCUGUACCAGUUGAAGACCCAGAAAUGAGUCAUGAGAUGUCAUCCAUGGCAGAAACCGAAUUGCAAAUGAAAUCAAAGGAAAUGAAACAAACUCAGGCCUAUGAAAAUAUUCAGUCAGUUGUAUGUAAAUAUUCAAUUUUAUUUUUAUACUAAUAGUUUGUUAAAUCACCAUAGGUUAAAUAAAUUUAUAUUUUAGAGUUUAAGGAUGUUCUGU
RNAcentral lists this long non-coding RNA (313 nucleotides) under Mus spicilegus (steppe mouse). Its description in RNAcentral is "lncRNA (ENSMSIG00000000955.1)". Lineage: Eukaryota; Metazoa; Chordata; Mammalia; Rodentia; Muridae. The record is from RNAcentral.